CCGCUGCAAGAGGGGAAGUUGCUACUGUGAUGAAUUCUGCCAUGUGGCACCAGACUGCCACCCAGACCACAGUGUCCUCUGCAACCCUGGUCAAAGCUUCUCAGAUGACCAAGAUGGUGCUGCAGAUGGUGCUGAGGAUGGAGAACCCACCAAGCCCCGCUAGGAGCCACCUAGACUGGAUGCAGAGCAUGGAUUCUGGAUGUAUACAGAUGCUCUUCAUCUUAGGAAGGGGUUACGUCCCAAUAAACACGUGGCUAAAACCUUUGAAGAAGAAUUUAUUAUAUCCUACAAACCUGGGAGGCAGAGGUUGCAGUGAGCCAAGAUUGGGCCAUCGCACUCCAGCCUGGGCAAUAAGAAUGAAACUCUGUCUCAAAAAAAACAAAAGUUGGCCAGGGCUGGGCGUGGUGGCUCACACCUGUAAUCCCAGCAC
This 430-nucleotide long non-coding RNA is filed under the name Homo sapiens (human). Its description in RNAcentral is "MUC20 overlapping transcript". The record is from RNAcentral. Lineage: Eukaryota; Metazoa; Chordata; Mammalia; Primates; Hominidae.